GACGAACGCUGGCGGCGUGCCUAAUACAUGCAAGUUGAGCGAUGAAGAUUGGUGCUUGCACCAAUUUGAAGAGCAGCGAACGGGUGAGUAACGCGUGGGGAAUCUGCCUUUGAGCGGGGGACAACAUUUGGAAACGAAUGCUGAUACCGCAUAACAACUUUAAACAUAAGUUUUAAGUUUGAAAGAUGCAAUUGCAUCACUCAAAGAUGAUCCCGCGUUGUAUUAGCUAGUUGGUGAGGUAAAGGCUCACCAAGGCGAUGAUACAUAGCCGACCUGAGAGGGUGAUCGGCCACAUUGGGACUGAGACACGGCCCAAACUCCUACGGGAGGCAGCAGUAGGGAAUCUUCGGCAAUGGACGAAAGUCUGACCGAGCAACGCCGCGUGAGUGAAGAAGGUUUUCGGAUCGUAAAACUCUGUUGGUAGAGAAGAACGUUGGUGAGAGUGGAAAGCUCAUCAAGUGACGGUAACUACCCAGAAAGGGACGGCUAACUACGUG
Molecule: ribosomal RNA, 497 nt
Filed under: uncultured bacterium
Lineage: Bacteria
Description: partial 16S ribosomal RNA
Rfam family: Bacterial small subunit ribosomal RNA
Source: RNAcentral